RNAcentral lists this ribosomal RNA (424 nucleotides) under uncultured bacterium. Its description in RNAcentral is "partial 16S ribosomal RNA". It matches the Rfam family "Bacterial small subunit ribosomal RNA", at positions 360 to 776 of the family's 1533-position model. The record is from RNAcentral.
AAUAUUGGACAAUGGGGGGAACCCUGAUCCAGCCAUGCCGCGUGUGUGAAGAAGGUCUUCGGAUUGUAAAGCACUUUAAGUUGGGAGGAAGAGUUGUAGGCUAAUACCUUGCUGUUUUGACGUUACCGACCGAAUAAGCACCGGCUAUCUUCGUGCCAGCAGCCGCGGUAAUACGAAGGGUGCAAGCGUUAAUCGGAAUUACUGGGCGUAAAGCGCGCGUAGGUGGGUCGUUUAGUUGGAAGUGAAAGCCCCGGGCUUAACCUGGGAAUUGCUUUCAAAACUGACGAGCUAGAGUACGGUAGAGGGUAGUGGAAUUUCCUGUGUAGCGGUGAAAUGCGUAGAUAUAGGAAGGAACAGCAGUGGCGAAGGCGACUACCUGGACUGAUACUGACACUGAGGUGCGAAAGCGUGGGGAGCAAACAGG